RNAcentral lists this ribosomal RNA (434 nucleotides) under uncultured Clostridium sp. RNAcentral describes it as "partial 16S ribosomal RNA". It matches the Rfam family "Bacterial small subunit ribosomal RNA", at positions 341 to 792 of the family's 1533-position model. Lineage: Bacteria; Bacillati; Bacillota; Clostridia; Eubacteriales; Clostridiaceae. The record is from RNAcentral.
ACGGGAGGCAGCAGUGGGGAAUAUUGCACAAUGGGCGAAAGCCUGAUGCAGCGACGCCGCGUGAGCGAAGAAGUAUUUCGGUAUGUAAAGCUUUAUCAGGGACGAAGAACGUGACGGUACCUGAUGAAUAAGCCACGGCUAACUACGUGCCAGCAGCCGCGGUAAUACGUAGGUGGCAAGCGUUAUCCGGAUUUACUGGGUGUAAAGGGCGCGUAGGCGGGGAUGCAAGUCAGGUGUGAAAUCUAUGGGCUUAACCCAUAAACUGCAUUUGAAACUGUAUCUCUUGAGUGUCGGAGAGGUAGAUGGAAUUCCUAGUGUAGCGGUGAAAUGCGUAGAUAUUAGGAGGAACACCAGUGGCGAAGGCGAUCUACUGGACGAUAACUGACGCUGAGGCGCGAAAGCGUGGGGAGCAAACAGGAUUAGAUACCCUGGUA